CUGGCCGCGGCUCUUCGCUGCGGGCGGCGGCCUCGUCCCCACCCCUGCUUCUGCCUCCGAGUUUCUCUUUCUUUUCCCCUUCCGACCUGCUGCCUGGGAGUGGAGUCUGCGCCCGGGCCUGCACCGGGAGGAAGACAGCUGGCGGCGCGUGAAGAGGGACCAUUUGAGGGAGGAUUUUUUCUUCUGAGGACGACUUGCAGGGACUUGGAGAGGAGCCUGACUGUGAGUCCCCGAGGAAAGUCGUCUCCCCCAGCGCAGUGAGUGGAGCUGCCAGACCCGGGACACUUGCUGGAGCUUAAAUUGUCCUGUUUUUUCUUGCGUGUUUUAAGAGGCUUGAUGUCACCGGAUCUGAAAUGCCCGAUGCUGAAAGUGGUCCUGGGUCAAGCGAUUACUCGCCGAAUUUGAAUGAUUUUUAAAACCAGCUUUCUUGAGUGAAUUCGGGGGAAUUAAAAAAAAAUAUGCUGAGGUGAAGGGUCCUUCCUUGGGAGCUGAAAUGCUUGUUGGUAGAUCUUCUGGAAGCCGGCACUGGGGCUGUGAAGGAACGCUGCAGAAUGGGACUGCCCUAAUCUGGAAGCUGCUCUGUUUUUCUCUUCAGUUCCUACCCAGCCUUCCUCAGAGAAACACCAUAUGAUCAGACUGGCAUCUAGGAUGUGUAAAGACUGCAGGACUGAGCCAUGAAGACAGCGAGUAGUUGGGAAUAUGGUGGUAUGCUCCUGUCAGCUCUGGAUGGACCUUAUUUCCGUGAAAUAAACUUGCAAGAAGGAUGUAUAAAAUUAUAUCUAUAAAUCUACUAUUCAGAAGCAGUGAACUUUUUGACCUCUUGGAUUUUAGGUCAAAAAAGCAACUGAAAGUGAAGAACUGGCAUUU
Molecule: long non-coding RNA, 867 nt
Organism: Gavialis gangeticus (Gharial)
Lineage: Eukaryota; Metazoa; Chordata; Crocodylia; Gavialidae
Exons: 4
Source: RefSeq, a predicted model, not a curated record